Non-coding RNA from Pseudovirgaria hyperparasitica, 83 nucleotides. NCBI's taxonomy places the organism in Eukaryota, Fungi, Ascomycota, Dothideomycetes, Acrospermales, Acrospermaceae. The record is from the annotation of a RefSeq genome assembly.
GCAUUGGUGGGUUAGUGGUAUACUGAGUCGUUGCCAGUCACAUUGGAAUCGACUCGACCCGGGUUCGAUUCCCGGUCGAUGCA